GGGCCCGUAGCGCAGCCUGGAACCUUUCUUAGGAAGAAAUGUUCACGAAAGAAGGUGGGCUAAUAGCGCAUCUGCCUUCUAAGCAGAGGGUCGCGAGUUCAAAUCUCGUCGGGCCCGCCA
Molecule: transfer RNA, 120 nt
Filed under: Candidatus Woesearchaeota archaeon
Lineage: Archaea; Nanobdellati; Candidatus Woesearchaeota
Description: tRNA-Arg
Rfam family: tRNA
About the family: Transfer RNA (tRNA) molecules are approximately 80 nucleotides in length. Their secondary structure includes four short double-helical elements and three loops (D, anti-codon, and T loops). Further hydrogen bonds mediate the characteristic L-shaped molecular structure. tRNAs have two regions of fundamental functional importance: the anti-codon, which is responsible for specific mRNA codon recognition, and the 3' end, to which the tRNAs corresponding amino acid is attached (by aminoacyl-tRNA synthetases). tRNAs cope with the degeneracy of the genetic code in two manners: having more than one tRNA (with a specific anti-codon) for a particular amino acid; and 'wobble' base-pairing, i.e. permitting non-standard base-pairing at the 3rd anti-codon position.
Source: RNAcentral